Molecule: transfer-messenger RNA, 210 nt
Filed under: Rhodopseudomonas palustris CGA009
Lineage: Bacteria; Pseudomonadati; Pseudomonadota; Alphaproteobacteria; Hyphomicrobiales; Nitrobacteraceae
Also listed under: 1 other name
Description: transfer-messenger RNA Rhodo_palus_CGA009
Rfam family: Alphaproteobacteria transfer-messenger RNA
About the family: Bacterial tmRNA, also known as 10Sa RNA or SsrA, is named for its dual tRNA and mRNA-like properties. Its role is to liberate the mRNA from a stalled ribosome.
Source: RNAcentral
GGGGGCGAAAUAGGAUCGACGAGGGCGUAAAGGGCUCGCUUUUUCCCGGUAUUGUUCCGCCGUUAUCGGGCUACUGCAAUAGUUGCCAACGACAACUAUGCUCCGGUUGCUCAGGCUGCGUAACGCAGUUUGAAAGACCACUUUAAAGCCCUAACGGGUUAAGCUCCGUUAGGCGGGGUUCGGAGGCACCUGGCAACAGAAGCCUCCACU